AACGCGUGAGUAACCUGCCUUACACAAGGGGAUAGCCUCUGGAAACGGAGAAUAAUACCCUAUGAAACUAUCUUGUCGCAUGAAAAGAUAGUCAAAGUGUAUUAGCGGUGUAAGAUGGACUUGCGUCUGAUUAGCUAGUUGGUGAGAUAACAGCCCACCAAGGCAACGAUCAGUAGCCGGCUUGAGAGAGUGUACGGCCACAUUGGGACUGAGACACGGCCCAG
Molecule: ribosomal RNA, 224 nt
Filed under: uncultured Eubacteriales bacterium
Lineage: Bacteria; Bacillati; Bacillota; Clostridia; Eubacteriales
Description: uncultured Clostridiales bacterium partial 16S ribosomal RNA
Rfam family: Bacterial small subunit ribosomal RNA
Source: RNAcentral